UUACUUAUCUAGAAAUACUUGUUUUUACUUUACCGUACUUAAUCGACAAAGAAAAAUAAGCAUAAUUGUGCUGCGGCGUUUGAAUUAAUCACUCUUAAGGAACUCGGCAAAAUAGUUCUGUAACUUCGGGAUAAAGAACACCUUUUAAUAAAGGUUUUAUAAAUAGGGAAUAGCGACUAGUUAAUAAAACUACAAGACUUUGCUAAAUUGUAAAAUGAUGUAUAAGGUCUGAUAUCUGCCCAGUGCUAGAAAGUUAUUUUAUGUGGUGAAAGCUAUGUAAAUAAGCUUUAGUAAACGGCGGUUGUAACUCUAACAAUCCUAAGGUAGCGAAAUUCCUAGUCAAUUAAUUGUUGACCUGCAUGAGAGAUAUAACGACUUUUCCACUGUCUCAAGAGUGAAUUCAGUGAAAUUAGAUUUUGCGUGAAGAUACGCAAUAACGGCAGUUAGACGGAAAGACCCCAUAAACCUUAACUAUAAUUUUAGAAUGUUUUUACAUAUAGCUUGUGUAGUAAUAAGUGGUAGUCGAUAGCAUGUCUUAACGUUAGUUAAUUACAGAGACAAAAAUGAAAGACCACUCUAGUUAUUUUGUAAAACUAAAUUAAAUUUUUAAUGAUAAUCUAAGAUGGUUAGUUUGACUGGGGCGGUAGUCUCCAAAAAAGUAACGGAGACCUACAAAGGUAGGCUCAAAUUUAGAUAAUAAAUUUUCGAACGCAAUGGUAUAUGCCUGCUUGACUGUGAGACAUACAAGUCGAACAGAGACGAAAGUCGGUCAUAGUGAUCCUAUGAUUUUGAAUGGAAAAGUCAUAGCUUAAGGAAUAAAAGGUACUUUGGGGAUAACAGGCUGAUAAUUCUCGAGAGCUCUCAUCAACAGAAUUGUUUGGCACCUCGAUGUCGACUCUUCAUAUCCUGGGGCUGAAAAAGGUCCCAAUGGUUUGGCUGUUCGCCAAUUAAAAUGGAACGUGAGUUGG
RNAcentral lists this ribosomal RNA (968 nucleotides) under Rhodosorus marinus. RNAcentral's name for it is "partial Bacterial large subunit ribosomal RNA". It matches the Rfam family "Bacterial large subunit ribosomal RNA", at positions 1601 to 2608 of the family's 2925-position model. Lineage: Eukaryota; Rhodophyta; Stylonematophyceae; Stylonematales; Stylonemataceae. The record is from RNAcentral.